Molecule: ribosomal RNA, 559 nt
Filed under: uncultured marine bacterium D010
Lineage: Bacteria
Description: bacterial SSU rRNA
Rfam family: Bacterial small subunit ribosomal RNA
Source: RNAcentral
CUACGGGAGGCAGCAGUGGGGAAUCUUAGACAAUGGGCGCAAGCCUGAUCUAGCCAUGCCGCGUGAGUGAUGAAGGCCUUAGGGUCGUAAAGCUCUUUCGCCAGGGAUGAUAAUGACAGUACCUGGUAAAGAAACCCCGGCUAACUCCGUGCCAGCAGCCGCGGUAAUACGGAGGGGGUUAGCGUUGUUCGGAAUUACUGGGCGUAAAGCGCACGUAGGCGGACUGGAAAGUUGGGGGUGAAAUCCCGGGGCUCAACCCCGGAACUGCCUCCAAAACUAUCAGUCUAGAGUUCGAGAGAGGUGAGUGGAAUUCCGAGUGUAGAGGUGAAAUUCGUAGAUAUUCGGAGGAACACCAGUGGCGAAGGCGGCUCACUGGCUCGAUACUGACGCUGAGGUGCGAAAGUGUGGGGAGCAAACAGGAUUAGAUACCCUGGUAGUCCACACCGUAAACGAUGAAUGCCAGUCGUCAGCAAGCAUGCUUGUUGGUGACACACCUAACGGAUUAAGCAUUCCGCCUGGGGAGUACGGUCGCAAGAUUAAAACUCAAAGGAAUUGACGG